AGAUUAUAGAAAUAUAUGCCGUUAAUGCCCGUCUCAUCAAACUGUUGAAAUGAUUUUCUUCUAUAUCCGCUUUCAAAUCAGAUAGUUCCAGCGACGAAGAGCAAUCUCAAAGCAGCCUCUCACUCGGAGAAGGCUGUAGUUUCUGGCCGGUUGGCUGUUCAAAAAAAUCGGAGGGUGAACUGUUUGAUUCUUUAAAUCUGACUAGUUCGCAAUUGGAGGAUUUAAUAGCUGAAACAGAUUGUCUUUUUGAGAAUAAAAAUCCUGCCUCAGCCAAAGAGUCCCCAGAAACAGAAUACUCGACGCCUCCAAAGAGCGGGUUUUCUUCCGAAGUUUCCAGUCAGCAUCUAGAAUCGGCGCAAAGGCUCUCGGACAGUCUAUUAUUGAACAUCUCAUUCACGCCGCCCGAACCAGCCUCUCCUGGCUUACUGACUCAGAUACUCGGGGGAUCACCGCCGUUUGCAUCAUCACCCGGACUUCUCACCCAAAUAAUCGGUGAACCUGAAAGAUUGGAUCCCGCUGCUAAGGCUGCUGAGCUGAAGGCGGAAAUCGAACGAGUGCUGUUGAUUUUUCAAAG
This is a long non-coding RNA of Polypterus senegalus (gray bichir), 574 nucleotides long. RefSeq lists it as uncharacterized. Lineage: Eukaryota; Metazoa; Chordata; Cladistia; Polypteriformes; Polypteridae. The transcript has 5 exons. The record is from RefSeq and is a predicted model, not a curated record.